AGUCGAGCGGGCGUAGCAAUACGUCAGCGGCAGACGGGUGAGUAACGCGUGGGAACGUACCUUUUGGUUCGGAACAACACAGGGAAACUUGUGCUAAUACCGGAUAAGCCCUUACGGGGAAAGAUUUAUCGCCGAAAGAUCGGCCCGCGUCUGAUUAGCUAGUUGGUAGGGUAACGGCCUACCAAGGCGACGAUCAGUAGCUGGUCUGAGAGGAUGAUCAGCCACAUUGGGACUGAGACACGGCCCAAACUCCUACGGGAGGCAGCAGUGGGGAAUAUUGGACAAUGGGGGCAACCCUGAUCCAGCCAUGCCGCGUGAGUGAUGAAGGCCCUAGGGUUGUAAAGCUCUUUUGUGCGGGAAGAUAAUGACGGUACCGCAAGAAUAAGCCCCGGCUAACUUCGUGCCAGCAGCCCCGGUAAUACGAAGGGGGCUAGCGUUGCUCGGAAUCACUGGGCGUAAAGGGUGC
This 466-nucleotide ribosomal RNA is filed under the name Bradyrhizobium japonicum. Its description in RNAcentral is "bacterial SSU rRNA". It matches the Rfam family "Bacterial small subunit ribosomal RNA", at positions 60 to 570 of the family's 1533-position model. The record is from RNAcentral. Lineage: Bacteria; Pseudomonadati; Pseudomonadota; Alphaproteobacteria; Hyphomicrobiales; Nitrobacteraceae.